Molecule: transfer RNA, 71 nt
Filed under: Hydra sinensis
Lineage: Eukaryota; Metazoa; Cnidaria; Hydrozoa; Anthoathecata; Hydridae
Description: tRNA-Met
Rfam family: tRNA
About the family: Transfer RNA (tRNA) molecules are approximately 80 nucleotides in length.
Source: RNAcentral
AGAAGAAUAAACUAAUGGAAAGUUAUUUGGCUCAUGAUCAAAAUAUAUAGGUUCAAUUCCUAUUUCUUCAA